AAAGGCAGUAUCUGAUGCAG
This 20-nucleotide microRNA is filed under the name Sphaeroforma arctica. The record is from RNAcentral. Lineage: Eukaryota; Ichthyosporea; Ichthyophonida. RNAcentral also lists the same sequence under 1 other name.